GAUGAACGCUGGCGGCGUGCCUAAUACAUGCAAGUCGAGCGAACAGACGAGGAGCUUGCUCCUCUGACGUUAGCGGCGGACGGGUGAGUAACACGUGGAUAACCUACCUAUAAGACUGGGAUAACUUCGGGAAACCGGAGCUAAUACCGGAUAAUAUAUUGAACCGCAUGGUUCAAUAGUGAAAGACGGUUUUGCUGUCACUUAUAGAUGGAUCCGCGCCGCAUUAGCUAGUUGGUAAGGUAACGGCUUACCAAGGCGACGAUGCGUAGCCGACCUGAGAGGGGACUGCGCCAACCUGAAACGUGCACCGGUCCCAAGCCCCCUGGGGGGGCAGCGGUGGGGACUCUUCCACAUGGGGGGAAGCCCUAAGGGGGAACCGCCGGGGGGGUGAAAAGGUGUUUCGGACCGUAAACCUCUUUUUUUGGGGAAAAAAAAAUGUUAAAGUAACGUUCCCCGGUUUGACGGUACCAAAAAAAAAAGCCCCGGCUAACUACGU
This 496-nucleotide ribosomal RNA is filed under the name uncultured bacterium. RNAcentral's name for it is "partial 16S ribosomal RNA". It matches the Rfam family "Bacterial small subunit ribosomal RNA", at positions 28 to 506 of the family's 1533-position model. The record is from RNAcentral.